CUUCUACUCCCUCCGUCCGGUAUUUAAGUGUCGCAACUUUGUUCAGAUACGCAUGUAUGUACACAUUAAAACGCGUCUAGAUACAUGUGUAUCUAGACAAAGUUGCGACACUUGAUACCGGAUUGAGGGAGUAUAUG
This is a non-coding RNA of Brachypodium distachyon (stiff brome), 137 nucleotides long. NCBI's taxonomy places the organism in Eukaryota, Viridiplantae, Streptophyta, Magnoliopsida, Poales, Poaceae. The record is from Rfam.